Molecule: long non-coding RNA, 1640 nt
Filed under: Canis lupus familiaris (dog)
Lineage: Eukaryota; Metazoa; Chordata; Mammalia; Carnivora; Canidae
Description: lncRNA (ENSCAFG00000051099.1)
Source: RNAcentral
CUACUAUCUGGAAAUUUAUUAUUUCUCAUACAUACAAACAUCAAAUCAUUAUGUUAUGUGCCUGAAACUAAAAUAAUGUCAAUUGAAUCUUAAUUUUUCAAAAUUCUAUUGCAUUUAGGGAUGCCCAGGUGGCUCAGCAGUUGAGCGCCUGCCUUCGGCCCAGGGCAUGAUCCUAGAGUCCUGGGAUUGAGUCCCACAUCAGGCUCCCUUGCAGAGCCUGCUUCUCUCUCUGCCUGUGUCUCUGCCUCUCUCUCUCUCUCUCUCUCUGUCUCUCAUGAAUAAAUAAAUCUUUUUUAAAAAUUCUAUUGCAUUUAAAUGACUAGCAGACAUAUGUUACCAGCUGAUGUUAUCCAGUGUAGAGAAGUACUGAACAGCACAAAGGAAAUAUGAUGAAGACCUAAGAUCAUGUCCAAAAAAUACAGCACCUUUCUUUAUCCCUCAGCUGAAAUGACAAACACUAAGUUGCUUUGGGUUAGAAAUGAAAGGCAAUCAACCUAAGAAAAAUGACGAUAGCCUGGUCCUCGGGCUCCAGGGCAGAGGUGAACAAGUGAAGAGUGCACAGGGCAGGCAUGCAGGUGGCCUUCAGCAUCCCCUGGAACAUGGGAUUCGGACCCUCCAGGGUUCUGUUUCUUUUCUCCGCAUCUUCUUUACUCAUCACCUUCUUCUCAUCUUCUAGGAGCUGUUCAGAGGCUCAACUGCCAAUUGAUCCCCAGUCUCACAACUUGAAAUCUCCACCAAUUUCCAAGGGGAGAACUCUGAGUGGACCCUGCUUGGGUCAAUCAACUUAAGCCAAGAGAGCAAGAUUGCUCAACUAGAACUGCCUAUUUACAGUGUACAUAUGUCCGGCAAGCAAAAAAGUGAGAAACAGAAGGAAAAGGGGGGAGAUAUUUAUCAUGGGGUAGUUCCAAAGAUAGAGAAAGUGCUAUUCCUAAAAAAUAGGUGGUGGUGGUGAUAGGGCUUCCAGGCAAACUAAAAAAUUUGUCAUGUUCCUACCAGCAUCUCAUUAGAUGCUGGAAAGAAAACAUUGUGAUCGUCCAGACACAUUCCAGAGUAAAAAUUGACUUUUUGUUUUUAUUUUUUUGUGGGCAUCUCUUUCAUUGUGAGACAGGUCACUGGUCCAGAAAUUGAUAGUCUUUAGUGGUCUGUGACAAUGAACAGAGCAUCGGUCAGUUCACUAGUUCAUCACCUGGAGAAAGUUUCUAAACUGUAAAUGCCUGGGACACAAUGAUACUAAUGGUUUUGCUGAUUCCCUGGCCUCCCUCUGCAGGAGAUUUCACUUUCUGCUAUCAGCUGAGCAAAAUGUUCUGGAAUUUAUACUUCUCCUCUGGUUAAUUCUUCAGAGUCAAGAAAACUCAAAAUCAGUCUAUGACAAGGGUAAAAGGAACAUUUUUUUAGAAAGUCUGAGGAGCACUGUUGACAUCAGCUCAAAUGUGCGAUUUCUUUUAUUACUCAUUAUGAAUCAGUCACCCACUAAUUUGCCUUCAGAGCUGCCUAUAUUUCAAAGUGACAUCAAUUCUUAGAAUAUAAUGUAACACUCAUGACUAAAAUGUAAUUUAUGUUUCUUGAGAUACCUCUUUCAAGCAGUAGUAAGACAGGGUCACAGAUACUUGAUCAUCCUCUUAUUAAAAAAAAAAAAAAGU